CAAGAACUCUGAUGCCUGCAUUUCCUGUUGACAAAAGCUUGCAUAUGUAUGUAUAUGCAUCUAACAUGUAAUUAGGAUGAUGGUUUUUAUGUGAAUCAAUGGUUACAUGGAGGAAAAGUGGAAUAAAGAAUUUUGUUGGAUAAGCAGUUUAAAACUUAGAAUGUUAUCCUAGAAGGACAGGAUGCUGUGUUCUUUUCUAUUGUGCCAUAAGGUGGAAUGUUGGCUACCUUGGGCCAGUGAGGACUCUUACAUAAAGAGCAUUCUCCAGAAUUUGGUGGAGCUAGAGAGAACAGCAUGAAAACUGGGCUUUCUGAACUGGCUGACAGACAAGUAAUAAUCUAACAAAUGGCUAGAAAGGAGUGAAAACCAAAAGCAACUUCUCUGCAAAGCAACAGCCACAAAGAUAACAGAGACUGUGCUAUGAUCAAGUAGCUGCCAUAGUAUUCAGAAAAGAGAGUGUGAUCUUCUGGAAAUGGACAAAUAAAUGUGCAGCAUGUCAGAGUCCUGUGUUCCACUCAAACUGUUUCCCUUUAGUGGCCUCUUCUCAUGACAGAGCCUUGCAGACAGAUUGCCUUUGAGUAAGUUGCAAAUGUCACAGAGCCCGAAAAGAGCCAGAGGGGGACUUGAAGAGAAGACUACUAUGAAACAAGGAUGCAAUUAUCUCAAAUGAAAAGCAGUUAUGUGAUUAACUUAGUGUCCGGAUCACCACAGCCCCGGGACAUACUGGAAAGCUCAGCAGUUGGUUCCAUUCACAUGUUCCAUCCAAGUGACAAAACAUUGAAAGAGAACAUGUUAUGGUCUCCAGUAAUAAAGUGUUCUUUCC
Molecule: long non-coding RNA, 823 nt
Filed under: Cricetulus griseus (Chinese hamster)
Lineage: Eukaryota; Metazoa; Chordata; Mammalia; Rodentia; Cricetidae
Description: lncRNA (ENSCGRG00015040306.1)
Source: RNAcentral